AGUGAACGCUGGCGGUAGGCCUAACACAUGCAAGUCGAACGGCAGCACAGUAAGAGCCUGCUCUUACGGGUGGCGAGUGGCGGACGGGUGAGGAAUACAUCGGAAUCUACUUUUUCGUGGGGGAUAACGUAGGGAAACUUACGCUAAUACCGCAUACGACCUACGGGUGAAAGCAGGGGAUCUUCGGACCUUGCGCGAUUGAAUGAGCCGAUGUCGGAUUAGCUAGUUGGCGGGGUAAAGGCCUACCAAGGCGACGAUCCGUAGCUGGUCUGAGAGGAUGAUCAGCCACACUGGAACUGAGACACGGUCCAGACUCCUACGGGAGGCAGCAGUGGGGAAUAUUGGACAAUGGGCGCAAGCCUGAUCCAGCCAUACCGCGUGGGUGAAGAAGGCCUUCGGGUUGUAAAGCCCUUUUGUUGGGAAAGAAAAGCAGCAGGUUAAUACCCCGCUGUUCUGACGGUACCCAAAGAAUAAGCACCGGCUAACUUCGUG
RNAcentral lists this ribosomal RNA (492 nucleotides) under uncultured bacterium. Its description in RNAcentral is "partial 16S ribosomal RNA". It matches the Rfam family "Bacterial small subunit ribosomal RNA", at positions 29 to 507 of the family's 1533-position model. The record is from RNAcentral.